This 465-nucleotide ribosomal RNA is filed under the name uncultured bacterium. Its description in RNAcentral is "partial 16S ribosomal RNA". It matches the Rfam family "Bacterial small subunit ribosomal RNA", at positions 338 to 795 of the family's 1533-position model. The record is from RNAcentral.
CCUACGGGUGGCAGCAGUGGGGAAUAUUGCGCAAUGGGCGAAAGCCUGACGCAGCGACGCCGCGUGAGGGAUGAAGGUCUUCGGAUCGUAAACCUCUGUCAGCAGGGAAGAACGGUCACUGUGCUAAUCAGCAGUGAAUUGACGGUACCUGCAAAGGAAGCACCGGCUAACUCCGUGCCAGCAGCCGCGGUAAUACGGAGGGUGCGAGCGUUAAUCGGAAUUACUGGGCGUAAAGCGCUCGUAGGCGGUAUGUCAAGUCAAGGGUGAAAUCCCCGCGCUCAACGUGGGAACUGCCUUUGAAACUGGCAAACUGGAGUGUGUGAGAGGAUAGUGGAAUUCCAGGUGUAGGAGUGAAAUGCGUAGAUAUCGGGAGGAACAUCAGUGGCGAAGGCGACUAUCUGGCACAUAACUGACGCUGAGGAGUGAAAGCGUGGGUAGCAAACAGGAUUAGAUACCCUUGUAGUC